This 698-nucleotide ribosomal RNA is filed under the name uncultured organism. Its description in RNAcentral is "bacterial SSU rRNA". It matches the Rfam family "Bacterial small subunit ribosomal RNA", at positions 752 to 1461 of the family's 1533-position model. The record is from RNAcentral.
UGCGAAAGCGUGUGGAGUGAACCGGAUGAGAUACCCCGGUAGUCCACGUUGUACACGAUGGAUACUAGGUGUGGGAGGUCAUUUAACCAUUCUGUGCCGUAGUUCACGCUUUUAGUAUCUCGCCUAGGGACUAAGGCCGCAAGGUUAUAACUGAAAGGAAUCGAGGGGGGCCCGCACAAGCAGCGGAGCGUGUGGUUUAAUUCGAUGAUACGAGAAGAACCUUACCUGGGCUUGACAUGGUGGUAGUAGUGAAGUGAAAGCGGAACGACCCUUGGGGGAGCCAUCACAGGUGCUGCAUGGCUGUCGUCAGCUCGUGUCGUGAGAUGUUGGGUUAAGUCCCUCAUCGAGCGCAACCCUCGUCGCUAUUUAUAUGUGUUUAGUGAGACUGCCGGUAUCAAACCGGAGGAAGGUGGGGAUGACGUCAAGUCAGCAUGGUCUUUAUGUCCAGGGCUACACACACGCUACAAUGGCCGGUACAAUGGGUUACCAUACCACGAGGUGGAGUUAAUCCUCAAAGCCGGUCUCAGUUCGGAUUGCAGUAUGCAACUUGACUGCAUGAAGGUGGAGUUGCUAGUAACCGCGCGUCAGCAAUAGUGCGGUGAAUGCGUUCCCGGGCCUUGUACACCCCGCCCGUCACAUCAUGGGAGUCGGCAACACCUGAAGUCGGUGACCAAACCGAAAGGUAGGAACUGCCUAAG